GUAGGGAAUAUUGGGCAAUGGAGGCAACUCUGACCCAGCCAUGCCGCGUGCAGGAAGACGGUCCUCUGGAUUGUAAACUGCUUUUGAAUGGGAAGAAACGUAGCUUUGCGAAGCUAUUUGACGGUACUAUUAGAAUAAGCACCGGCUAACUCCGUGCCAGCAGCCGCGGUAAUACGGAGGGUGCAAGCGUUAUCCGGAUUUAUUGGGUUUAAAGGGUGCGUAGGCGGCUUUAUAAGUCUGGGGUUAAAGGCGGCAGCUUAACUGUACGCAUGCCCUGGAAACUGUGAAGCUUGAGUGACUUGGAGGUAGCUAGAAUUCCCUGUGUAGCGGUGAAAUGCAUAGAUACGGGGAGGAAUACCGAUUGCGAAGGCAUGUUACUACGAGUAAACUGACGCUGAUGCACGAAAGCGUGGGGAUCAAACAGGAUUAGAUACCCCAGUAGUCC
Molecule: ribosomal RNA, 445 nt
Filed under: uncultured bacterium
Lineage: Bacteria
Description: partial 16S ribosomal RNA
Rfam family: Bacterial small subunit ribosomal RNA
Source: RNAcentral